GUGCUGAGUGUGACCGUGCCCAGCGGCGCUCGUGUGGAAGCUGGCUCCGCUGUGACACACCGAGAGGUGGGACCGGCAGGACUGCUAGGAGGAUGCCCCUCUCCACUGGGGGGCCGCAGUCUCCCCGACAAGGACAUCAGAUGUGGCCCCCGAUCUCAAACUCGCCAGCCUUCGAAAUGUGAGCCCAUAAGCAUCUUUUCUUCGUACAUUAGCCAGUGUCAGAUAUUCUGUCAGAGCAACAGAAAAGAGACUCAGGUCUCGGCCUCCCAAACCAUGCCCAGCCACGUCCACACAUUCGGCCUGCUUCCUUCUCCAUCAUGGUUCUCCCUCGCCUCCAACCUGCUUGUCGAAUGUAAUCAGGAAGAGGGGAGAAUGGAGUUCUUACGUGCACAGAGCACAUCCAGGAGCCAGCCUCGGGAGAGGCAGCAUCCCUCUGGCGGGAAGUCCCCAGGCACACUCAGGCAGGAACUGAACCAGAGGGAGGGAUCAGAGCGCCCCUGAAUCACCGUUAAAGCUUCCUCUAAAGGGCCAUUGGGAAUGACUGUGGAGCGCCUCCCAGCGGAAGAACUUGGCACCACCACCUAUGUGUCAUAACUACAUGCAGACAUCUUUCCAGGGCCGCCUUUGCCCCUGCUUUGCUUCUUUCCUGUUUGCUUCCCUCCCUGUCUCUGUCCUUCUCCUUCUUCCCUUCCUGUCUUCCUUCCUUCCGUGACUAUAGAAGAACUGCCCUGGUCCGGGUGCUGUUCUCACACCAGAAGUGACUGUCACCCGCCCCACAGGGACAGCAAGCCCACAG
RNAcentral lists this long non-coding RNA (796 nucleotides) under Heterocephalus glaber (naked mole-rat). Its description in RNAcentral is "lncRNA (ENSHGLG00000050233.1)". Lineage: Eukaryota; Metazoa; Chordata; Mammalia; Rodentia; Bathyergidae. The record is from RNAcentral.